AGUGAACGCUGGCGGUAGGCCUAACACAUGCAAGUCGAACGGCAGCACAGUAAGAGCUUGCUCUUACGGGUGGCGAGUGGCGGACGGGUGAGGAAUACAUCGGAAUCUACUUUUUCGUGGGGGAUAACGUAGGGAAACUUACGCUAAUACCGCAUACGACCUACGGGUGAAAGCAGGGGAUCUUCGGACCUUGCGCGAUUGACUGAGCCGAUGUCGGAUUAGCUAGUUGGCGGGGUAAAGGCCCACCAAGGCGACGAUCCGUAGCUGGUCUGAGAGGAUGAUCAGCCACACUGGAACGGAGACACGGUCCAUACUCCUACGGGAGGCAGCAGUGGGGAAUAUUGGACAAUGGGCGCAAGCCUGAUCCAGCCAUACCGCGUGGGUGAAGAAGGCCUUCGGGUUGUAAAGCCCUUUUGUUGGGAAAGAAAAGCAGCAGGUUAAUACCCCGCUGUUCUGACGGUACCCAAAGAAUAAGUACCGGCUAACUUCGUG
This 492-nucleotide ribosomal RNA is filed under the name uncultured bacterium. RNAcentral describes it as "partial 16S ribosomal RNA". It matches the Rfam family "Bacterial small subunit ribosomal RNA", at positions 29 to 507 of the family's 1533-position model. The record is from RNAcentral.